AGAAAUAAACUAUAUGAACUUCUAAUUCAUUAAAUUAUGGUAAUAUCAUAUUAUUUCUU
Molecule: transfer RNA, 59 nt
Filed under: Pheidole flaveria
Lineage: Eukaryota; Metazoa; Arthropoda; Insecta; Hymenoptera; Formicidae
Description: tRNA-Ser
Source: RNAcentral